Molecule: long non-coding RNA, 1991 nt
Filed under: Zonotrichia albicollis (white-throated sparrow)
Lineage: Eukaryota; Metazoa; Chordata; Aves; Passeriformes; Passerellidae
Description: lncRNA (ENSZALG00000000159.1)
Source: RNAcentral
GUGGAUGGGACAGAGGAAAUUUCAUAAAUUCUAAAUUUACUUUGAAGAAAUCCCAAAAAUCCCAGGUGGAUGGGGCAGAGGGAAUCCUCUAAAUUCUAAAUUUACUUUGAAGAAAUCCCAAAAAUCACAGGUGGAUGGGACAGAGAAAAGCCUCUAAAUUCUAAAUUUACUUUCAGGAAGUCCCAAAAAUCACAGGUGGAUGGGACAGAAGAAAUCUUCUAAAUUUCCUUUCAGGAAAUCCCAAAAUCACAGGUGGAUGGGGCAGAGAAAAGCCUCUAAAUUCUAAAUUUGCUUUCAAGAAAUCCCAAAAAUCCCAGGUGGAUGGGACAGAAGAAAUCCUCUAAAUUUACUUUGAUGAAAUCCCAAAAUCACAGAUGGAUGGGAACAGAGGAAAUCUCAUAAAUUCUAAAUUCCCUUUCAAGAAGUCCCAAAAAUCACAGGUGGAUGGGACAGAGGGAAUCCUCUAAAUUUACUUUGAAGAAAUCCCAAAAUCACAGGUGGAUGGGACAGAGGAAAUGUCAUAAAUUCUAAAUUUACUUUAAGAAAAUCCCCAAAAUCACAGGUGGAUGGGGCAGAAGAAAUCCUCUAAAUUCUAAAUUUACUUUCAAGAGGUCCCCAAAAUCACAGGUGGAUGGGAACAGAGGAAAUCUCAUAAAUUCUAAAUUCCCUUUCAAGAAGUCCCAAAAAUCCCAGGUGGAUGGGACAGAGGAAUCCCCUAAAUUUCAAAUUCCCAUUGAAACAUUUAAAUUCCCUUUUCUUUCCCAAAUCCCAUGGAUGGGUGCUGGAUAACCUUGACAAGCUGAGCUCCCUCAGGGUUUGGAUGAGCAUUUUGGAGCUCUGAAGGUGCCAGACCAGGAGAUUUUCACUAAAACAGGAGAUUUUCACUGGGAGCUCCUUCUCUCCUGGGAAUGUGUGUGGGCAGAAUCACAAAGGAGCUCUCCAGCAGGUCCUGCCUUACUGGUUUGAACUGGCAGCCUGCCUCUGCCAAGUGGUACGACCGCAGGGAUUUCGUCUUCGUGGAGUUCUGUGUGGAGGACAGCAAAGAUGUAAAUGUCAAUUUUGAAAAGUCCAAACUCACCUUCAGGUCAGCAAUUCCGGCACAAAACCCAGCAAAACAUUGAUUUCUUUGGGGGCUAAAUUCUGAUUUAUUUUGGGGUGAAAUAUUGAUUUAUUUGGGGGAUAAAUUCUGAUUUUUUGGGGCUAAAUUCUGAUUUUUUGGGGCUAAAUUUUGAUUUAUUUUAGGGCUAAAUUUUGAUUUAUUUUGGGGUGAAAUAUUAAUUUUUUGGGGUUAAAUAUUGAUUUAUUUUGGGGUUAAAUAUUGAUUUAUUGGGGUUAAAUAUUGAUUUAUUUUGGGGUGAAAUAUUCAUUUUUGGGGGUUAAACAUUGAAUUAUUUGGGGCUAAAUUCUGAUUUUUUGGGGCUAAAUUCUGAUUUAUUUUGGGGUGAAAUAUUAAUUUUUUGGGGUUAAAUAUUGAUUUAUUUUGGAGAUAAAUUCUGAUUUAUUUUGGGGCUAAAUACUGAUUUAUUUUGGGGUGAAAUAUUAAUUUUUUGGGGUUAAAUAUUGAUUUUUUUGGGGCUAAAUUCUGAUUUUUUGGGGCUAAAUUCUGAUUUAUUUUGGAGCUAAAUUCUGAUUUAUUUUGGGGUUAAAUUCUGAUUUAUUUUGGGGAUAAAUUCUGAUUUUUUGGGGGCUAAAUUCUGAUUUAUUUUGGGGUGAAAUAUUGAUUUUUUGGGGUUAAAUAUUGAUUUAUUUUGGAGCUAAAUUCUGAUUUAUUUUGGAGCUAAAUUCUGAUUUAUUUUGGAGCUGAAUUCUGAUUUAUUUUGGGGUGAAAUAUUAAUUUUUGGGGGUUAAACAUUGAAUUAUUUGGGGCUAAAUUCUGAUUUAUUUUGGGGUUAAAUAUUGAUUUAUUUUGGGGUGAAAUGAUAAUUUUUUGGGGUUAAAUAUUGAUUUAUUUUGGGAAUAAAUUCUGAUUUUUUAGGGCUAAAUUCUGAUUU